RNAcentral lists this ribosomal RNA (377 nucleotides) under uncultured bacterium. RNAcentral describes it as "bacterial SSU rRNA". It matches the Rfam family "Bacterial small subunit ribosomal RNA", at positions 521 to 896 of the family's 1533-position model. The record is from RNAcentral.
UAAUACGAAGGGGGCUAGCGUUGUUCGGAAUUACUGGGCGUAAAGGGCUCGUAGGUGGCCAACUAAGUCAGACGUGAAAUCCCUCGGCUUAACCGGGGAACUGCGUCUGAUACUGGAUGGCUUGAGUUCGGGAGAGGGAUGCGGAAUUCCAGGUGUAGCGGUGAAAUGCGUAGAUAUCUGGAGGAACACCGGUGGCGAAGGCGGCAUCCUGGACCGACACUGACACUGAGGAGCGAAAGCCAGGGGAGCAAACGGGAUUAGAUACCCCGGUAGUCCUGGCCCUAAACGAUGAAUGCUUGGUGUGGCGGGUAUCGAUCCCUGCCGUGCCGAAGCUAACGCAUUAAGCAUUCCGCCUGGGGAGUACGGUCGCAAGGCUG